Molecule: ribosomal RNA, 780 nt
Filed under: Pediococcus acidilactici
Lineage: Bacteria; Bacillati; Bacillota; Bacilli; Lactobacillales; Lactobacillaceae
Description: bacterial SSU rRNA
Rfam family: Bacterial small subunit ribosomal RNA
Source: RNAcentral
GGCUCAGGAUGAACGCUGGCGGCGUGCCUAAUACAUGCAAGUCGAACGAACUUCCGUUAAUUGAUCAGGACGUGCUUGCACUGAAUGAGAUUUUAACACGAAGUGAGUGGCGGACGGGUGAGUAACACGUGGGUAACCUGCCCAGAAGCAGGGGAUAACACCUGGAAACAGAUGCUAAUACCGUAUAACAGAGAAAACCGCCUGGUUUUCUUUUAAAAGAUGGCUCUGCUAUCACUUCUGGAUGGACCCGCGGCGCAUUAGCUAGUUGGUGAGGUAACGGCUCACCAAGGCGAUGAUGCGUAGCCGACCUGAGAGGGUAAUCGGCCACAUUGGGACUGAGACACGGCCCAGACUCCUACGGGAGGCAGCAGUAGGGAAUCUUCCACAAUGGACGCAAGUCUGAUGGAGCAACGCCGCGUGAGUGAAGAAGGGUUUCGGCUCGUAAAGCUCUGUUGUUAAAGAAGAACGUGGGUGAGAGUAACUGUUCACCCAGUGACGGUAUUUAACCAGAAAGCCACGGCUAACUACGUGCCAGCAGCCGCGGUAAUACGUAGGUGGCAAGCGUUAUCCGGAUUUAUUGGGCGUAAAGCGAGCGCAGGCGGUCUUUUAAGUCUAAUGUGAAAGCCUUCGGCUCAACCGAAGAAGUGCAUUGGAAACUGGGAGACUUGAGUGCAGAAGAGGACAGUGGAACUCCAUGUGUAGCGGUGAAAUGCGUAGAUAUAUGGAAGAACACCAGUGGCGAAGGCGGCUGUCUGGUCUGUAACUGACGCUGAGGCUCGA